AUUGAACGCUGGCGGCAUGCCUAACACAUGCAAGUCGAACGGCAGCACGGCAGUAGCAAUACUGUGGGUGGCGAGUGGCGGACGGGUGAGGAAUACGUCGGAAUCUGCCCAGUCGUGGGGGAUAACUAGCCGAAAGGUUAGCUAAUACCGCAUACGACCGAGAGGUGAAAGCGGGGGACCGCAAGGCCUCGCGCGAUUGGAUGAGCCGACGUCGGAUUAGCUAGUUGGUGGGGUAAAGGCCCACCAAGGCGACGAUCCGUAGCUGGUCUGAGAGGAUGAUCAGCCACACUGGAACUGAGACACGGUCCAGACUCCUACGGGAGGCAGCAGUGGGGAAUAUUGGACAAUGGGCGCAAGCCUGAUCCAGCAAUGCCGCGUGUGUGAAGAAGGCCUUCGG
RNAcentral lists this ribosomal RNA (397 nucleotides) under uncultured bacterium. RNAcentral's name for it is "bacterial SSU rRNA". It matches the Rfam family "Bacterial small subunit ribosomal RNA", at positions 29 to 421 of the family's 1533-position model. The record is from RNAcentral.